This 320-nucleotide ribosomal RNA is filed under the name uncultured Prevotella sp. RNAcentral's name for it is "bacterial SSU rRNA". It matches the Rfam family "Bacterial small subunit ribosomal RNA", at positions 28 to 339 of the family's 1533-position model. Lineage: Bacteria; Pseudomonadati; Bacteroidota; Bacteroidia; Bacteroidales; Prevotellaceae. The record is from RNAcentral.
GAUGAACGCUAGCUACAGGCUUAACACAUGCAAGUCGAGGGGCAGCAUGCUGAUAGCUUGCUAUCGGUGAUGGCGACCGGCGCACGGGUGCGUAACGCGUAUCCAACCUUCCCCUUAGUAGGGCAUAGCACGGUGAAAAUCGGAUUAAUACCCUAUGUUCUUCACAGCGGACAUCUAACGUGAAGCAAAGAUUCAUCGCUAAGGGAUGGGGAUGCGUCUGAUUAGGUUGCAGGCGGGGUAACGGCCCACCUGGCCGACGAUCAGUAGGGGUUCUGAGAGGAAGGUCCCCCACAUUGGAACUGAGACACGGUCCAAACUCC